This 497-nucleotide ribosomal RNA is filed under the name uncultured bacterium. RNAcentral describes it as "partial 16S ribosomal RNA". It matches the Rfam family "Bacterial small subunit ribosomal RNA", at positions 28 to 507 of the family's 1533-position model. The record is from RNAcentral.
GAUGAACGCUGGCGGCGUGCCUAAUACAUGCAAGUCGAGCGAACGGACGAGAAGCUUGCUUCUCUGGUGUUAGCGGCGGACGGGUGAGUAACACGUGGAUAACCUACCUAUAAGACUGGGAUAACUUCGGGAAACCGGAGCUAAUACCGGAUGAUAUUUUGAACCGCAUGGUUCAAAAGUGAAAGACGGUCUUGCUGUCACUUAUAGAUGGAUCCGCGCUGCAUUAGCUAGUUGGUAAGGUAACGGCUUACCAAGGCAACGAUGCAUAGCCGACCUGAGAGGGUGAUCGGCCACACUGGAACUGAGACACGGUCCAGACUCCUACGGGAGGCAGCAGUAGGGAAUCUUCCGCAAUGGGCGAAAGCCUGACGGAGCAACGCCGCGUGAGUGAUGAAGGUCUUCGGAUCGUAAAACUCUGCUAUUAGGGAAGAACAUAUGUGUAAGUAACUGUGCACAUCUUGACGGUACCUAAUCAGAAAGCCACGGCUAACUACGUG